This 442-nucleotide ribosomal RNA is filed under the name uncultured bacterium. Its description in RNAcentral is "partial 16S ribosomal RNA". It matches the Rfam family "Bacterial small subunit ribosomal RNA", at positions 338 to 795 of the family's 1533-position model. The record is from RNAcentral.
CCUACGGGAGGCAGCAGUGGGGGAUAUUGCACAAUGGGGGAAACCCUGAUGCAGCGACGCCGCGUGGGCGAAGAAGUAUUUCGGUAUGUAAAGCCCUAUCAGCAGGGAAGAAGAAAUGACGGUACCUGAGUAAGAAGCACCGGCUAAAUACGUGCCAGCAGCCGCGGUAAUACGUAUGGUGCAAGCGUUAUCCGGAUUUACUGGGUGUAAAGGGAGCGCAGGCGGCACGGCAAGCCUGAUGUGAAAGCCCGGGGCCCAACCGGGGGACUGCAUUGGGAACUACCGGGCUGGAGUGCCGGAGAGGUAGGCGGAAUUCCUAGUGUAGCGGUGAAAUGCGUAGAUAUUAGGAGGAACACCAGUGGCGAAGGCGGCCUACUGGACGGUGACUGACGCUGAGGCUCGAAAGCGUGGGGAGCAAACAGGAUUAGAUACCCGUGUAGUC